This 450-nucleotide ribosomal RNA is filed under the name uncultured bacterium. RNAcentral's name for it is "bacterial SSU rRNA". It matches the Rfam family "Bacterial small subunit ribosomal RNA", at positions 354 to 796 of the family's 1533-position model. The record is from RNAcentral.
GUCGAGAAUAAUUCGCAAUGGGCGAAAGCCUGACGAUGCGACGCCGUGUGAGCGAUGAAGGCCUUCGGGUUGUAAAGCUCUGUCGCCUGCGAACAAGGUUUGUGUGUGAACAACACAUAAACUUGAGUGUAGUAGGAAAGGAAGCACCGGCUAACUCCGUGCCAGCAGCUGCGGUAAUACGGAGGGUGCAAGCGUUAGUCGGAAUUACUGGGCGUAAAGGGUGCGUAGGCGGGGAUGUAAGUCAGAUGUGAAAUACCGUAGCUCAACUACGGCCGUGCAUCUGAAACUGCGUUUCUAGAGGGAUAGCGGAGAAAACGGAAUUCCAUGUGUAGCGGUGAAAUGCGUAGAUAUAUGGAAGAACACCUGUGGCGAAAGCGGUUUUCUAGCUCGACCCUGACGCUGAGGCACGAAAGCAAGGGGAGCAAACAGGAUUAGAAACCCCAGUAGUCC